UACGGAGGGUGCAAGCGUUAAUCGGAAUUACUGGGCGUAAAGCGUGCGUAGGCGGUUGCUUAAGUUGGAUGUGAAAGCCCCGGGCUCAACCUGGGAACUGCAUCCAAACUGGGCAACUAGAGUACGAGAGAGGAGUGUGGAAUUUCCUGUGUAGCGGUGAAAUGCGUAGAUAUAGGAAGGAACACCAGUGGCGAAGGCGACACUCUGGCUUGAUACUGACGCUGAGGUACGAAGCGUGGGGAGCAAACAGG
RNAcentral lists this ribosomal RNA (251 nucleotides) under uncultured bacterium. RNAcentral describes it as "partial 16S ribosomal RNA". It matches the Rfam family "Bacterial small subunit ribosomal RNA", at positions 524 to 776 of the family's 1533-position model. The record is from RNAcentral.